Molecule: ribosomal RNA, 305 nt
Filed under: Ilumatobacteraceae bacterium
Lineage: Bacteria; Bacillati; Actinomycetota; Acidimicrobiia; Acidimicrobiales; Ilumatobacteraceae
Description: partial 16S ribosomal RNA
Rfam family: Bacterial small subunit ribosomal RNA
Source: RNAcentral
UUGAUGGAGAGUUUGAUCCUGGCUCAGGACGAACGCUGGCGGCGUGCUUAACACAUGCAAGUCGAACGGAAUCCAAUGUGUAGCAAUACACAGGAAGAUUUAGUGGCGAACGGGUGAGGAACACGUGAGAAACCUGCCCCGAACUCUGGGAUAACAGUUGGAAACGACUGCUAAUACCGGAUGCCGUCGAGGAGUCGCAUGGCUCUUUGACGAAAGAAUCUUGGUUCGGGAGGGUCUCGCGACCUAUCAGCUUGUUGGCGGGGUAAUGGCCCACCAAGGCUACGACGGGUAGCUGGUCUGAGAGG